This 429-nucleotide ribosomal RNA is filed under the name Pseudomonadota bacterium. RNAcentral's name for it is "Proteobacteria bacterium partial 16S ribosomal RNA". It matches the Rfam family "Bacterial small subunit ribosomal RNA", at positions 355 to 776 of the family's 1533-position model. Lineage: Bacteria; Pseudomonadati; Pseudomonadota. The record is from RNAcentral.
UGGGGAAUAUUGGACAAUGGGCGAAAGCCUGAUCCAGCCAUGCCGCGUGUGUGAAGAAGGUCUUCGGAUUGUAUAGCACUUUAAGUUGGGAGGAAGGGCAGUAAGCGAAUACCUUGCUGUUUUGACGUUACCGACAGAAUAAGCACCGGCUAACUCUGUGCCAGCAGCCGCGGUAAUACAGAGGGUGCAAGCGUUAAUCGGAAUUACUGGGCGUAAAGCGCGCGUAGGUGGUUCGUUAAGUUGAAUGUGAAAGCCCCGGGCUCAACCUGGGAACUGCAUCCAAAACUGGCGAGCUAGAGUAGGGCAGAGGGUGGUGGAAUUUCCUGUGUAGCGGUGAAAUGCGUAGAUAUAGGAAGGAACACCAGUGGCGAAGGCGACCACCUGGGCUCAUACUGACACUGAGGUGCGAAAGCGUGGGGAGCAAACAGG